RNAcentral lists this ribosomal RNA (550 nucleotides) under uncultured bacterium. RNAcentral describes it as "bacterial SSU rRNA". It matches the Rfam family "Bacterial small subunit ribosomal RNA", at positions 355 to 896 of the family's 1533-position model. The record is from RNAcentral.
UAGGGAAUCUUCGGCAAUGGGGGCAACCCUGACCGAGCAACGCCGCGUGAGUGAAGAAGGUUUUCGGAUCGUAAAGCUCUGUUGUAAGUCAAGAACGAGUGUGAGAGUGGAAAGUUCACACUGUGACGGUAGCUUACCAGAAAGGGACGGCUAACUACGUGCCAGCAGCCGCGGUAAUACGUAGGUCCCGAGCGUUGUCCGGAUUUAUUGGGCGUAAAGCGAGCGCAGGCGGUUUGAUAAGUCUGAAGUUAAAGGCUGUAGCUCAACCAUAGUUCGCUUUGGAAACUGUCAAACUUGAGUGCAGAAGGGGAGAGUGGAAUUCCAUGUGUAGCGGUGAAAUGCGUAGAUAUAUGGAGGAACACCGGUGGCGAAAGCGGCUCUCUGGUCUGUAACUGACGCUGAGGCUCGAAAGCGUGGGGAGCGAACAGGAUUAGAUACCCUGGUAGUCCACGCCGUAAACGAUGAGUGCUAGGUGUUGGAUCCUUUCCGGGAUUCAGUGCCGCAGCUAACGCAUUAAGCACUCCGCCUGGGGAGUACGACCGCAAGGUUG